CUAGGGUACUUGUUGGCUUUUGCCCUAAUGGCCUGACUUCCGAUUUAGGCUUUGUCCUAAAUGUACUUUUUGCUCUGUUCCCCUAGCAGCCCUUCCAACUCUUACAAGUUUCAGUCGCAAACUAGUCCCCAGAAUACCCGUUCAACCCCAGGCCUUGAUUUCUCCUCUUUUGUAUAUCCUGAUCUUUAUUUUUCCCAGCACAGGUGAGGCUCCUGGGGACAGAAGAGGCCUCUUGACGAACCAUCGCUCUGCGGGUUGGGACACAGACUGCUGAGUUGUGGUACGCAGUCGGCUUGCUAAGGCAUGAUGGGUGCUGGCACCUAAGUAAUAAGUGAGGUGGGAACAUAUGGCAACAAUCGGGCCCACACCGUUGCACUGUUUGCCUUGAUCUGUUGCACUGUUAGAGGUAGUGCAUAAGUGUUGAUGUUCCGAUAGAUAAAUCUCCCCAAGUUAGGCUUUUUCUAAAAAAAAAAAAAAAAAGUAAUGUCUCUUACUGACAUUGCAAGUAAUUCGAAGACUUGGUUAAAUACUAUUUCCCUUGCUAGAUUUCUUUGCAUGCCAUAAGUUUCAAGCAUCUUUGUAGUGUCUUAGCCUGGCAUAGCUUGGUACAGUUAAUGCUAGUUAAGCAGUUCAGGUAGACCCCAGCACAAAUGACAGGUCUUUGGAAGUUCUUUCCUUCAAAUGUUUGGAUGCACUCCUAAAAGGACAGACAUUGUUCCUGUCGUAGUGUAGCUUACUAUUAUUUGCAGGUGGGGUAAAAUUUUGUUCUCUAUUUUAUUGGUUCUUAAUACUACUCAGAGACCUGGUCUGACAGAUGCUCCAUCUCCUCACUACAUCCUUGCAUGAUGUCAGAGGCAGGCAGACAACCUAACUUUUACAGUGGCUGACUGAAAGUAAAGUCGCAUAGCCAUUCCUGAUUCCAAGAGCAGAUUCCUUAAAGAGUGACAUUGAAUAUUUGUGAGCAAUAAUACAUUCCACUAAAAAUAUAUUUCAUAAUCCUCAUAGAGUUCCAACACAGGAAUCUGACACCGCUUCAUUUUAGCAUUUUAAAAGGUUUUUGUUCCCUUGAUUAAGUAUGGAGCUAAUUAUGAACUGAUUGUCAGAAAUUUGAAUACCAAUCCCAACUGUUGUCCAUUUCCUAGGGUAGAGAUCCAAUCUUUCCACCUGUUCAUGAAGCCUCUCCAGGUACUUACUCCUUACUCUGGCUUCUUUGUCCUGAAAGAGUAUUUUUAUUUAGGUCAUAGCCAUGGAGUAAGACUAUGAAUGUGGUCUUGUUUUAGCCUCUUUUCCUGAUAGUGAUAGAAAAGAAACAUUUGCAAGAUGAGUGGUCACAUACUAUGUGCCUGAAGUCAUGUGACUGUGUUCUAGUAAAGAUACCACAGCAGCACUGAGGCUAUGGUUUGGUUGAAUUUGUCUACUGUCAACAUCCUUAAUCUGUCUGGUCUGUUUAUAGGAGCUAUUCUUGUAAAAAUAGGAAAAUGGUAGACUAUUGACUAGGGUCUUUAAGGCUUGCACUAAUCGCUGCCACUCCUCCUGAAGACACAAAAAUGUUUGUGAUUUCCUGUUGUAUUUGGGGGCUAGGGAAGUGAUUUUAGAGGUUUCCUCUUAGCCUUCUGCAGUAUGAUAGCCCUAUCUCAUAGGCUAAGGAACUGUAGGAGAAUACCAUGUUGCCCCUAUUACCUUGCAGAUAUCUGUAUAAGGCAGCGAGGCAAGGGCUUCAACUGCAGCUAAUUUGAGUCUUCACAGAUCAUCCUGUGAUUCUUCUGGAACACAAGAGGACAGGAACUGAACCCAGGGCCUCAUGCAUGGUUAGGAAGUGCUCAACCACUGAGCUAUACUCCUAGCCCUCAGUGAGUGCUGUGUGCCAAGCAUUAGUCUAGACAUUUGGGUCAUGUCAGAGAACAAAGCAGACAAAGAUCUUUGUUAUUGUGGAUCUUAUGUGUGUGAAGCUGAAGGUGCAGUAGAGACCCAAGAAGUUUGGAGAAUCCAGGAACAUGGAUCAUCUGAGGAAAACUACAAGGAGGGGGCUGGGGAUUUAGCUCAGUGGUUCCACUGCCAGCUUUGCAAGCACAAGGACCCGAGUUCGAUCUCCUGUACCAAAAAAAAAAAGAAAACUACAAGGAGAGAACAGAGCCAGUCCAAGAGAGAAGCAGUAGGUGCUACAACUACUAGCAGUGCCAUGGGGCAGAGCCCCCAAGCCCUUUAGAGUUCACAGCUUGCCACAGAUUGCCUUGGAUACUGGAUAUGGAACUAUAGGACUUAAUGUUUGCCCUUCUAGAUUUUGGAGUUGCUUUGGUCUUGUUCCUUUCUAUCCCCCUAUUUGUACCUUUGGGAAUGGUAAUGCUUAUCUUGUGCCAUUGUAUGUUGGAAAUGUUUAACUUUCUUUUCACUUGUGCAGGGGCUCACAGCUAAGAGUUUGCCUUAAAUCUCAGAGGAGACUGGACUUGGUCUUUUCAGCAGUGUUGAAACUAUUAGGACUUUGGCAACCUUUAGAGAUGAAUUAUAUGCCUUUUGCUUAAAGGGAUGUGCAUGAAUCUUUGAGGGGCCAGGGACAGAAUGUUAUGGCUUGUGUCUAGAUGUCCCCCCAAAGUGUUAUGCGGUCACAUGUGGGGCUUUUCAGAGGUGGAUGGAUCUAGAGUGUGACACCGGGAUUGAUUCAUGGUGCAAUGAUGGGAUUAAGGCCGCUAGAAUUAAGGGUGUGAGUGCCCCAGCAGGUAGCCUGCAUAAGAUCUAAGAGACAGAAUAUUGCUAGUCACUUAUUUGCUUUUUCUGUCUUCUGCCUGCCAUGAACUGUUUCUUCUCUGCUGUGCCCCCCUGCCAUGCCACCUUGCCUUAGAGGAGGUUGACUAUGGACUGAAACCUCUACAAACUGUGAGCCAGAUAAACCUUUCCUCCUUUAACUUUGGGUGUCAGGUAUUUUGUCUCAACAACAAGAAAAGUAACCAAGACAUUAUGUUUUAGAGGAUGGAAGCAGAUAAUAAAUGUGUAAAUUAUGAAACAUGUUAGGAAGUGAUAAUGAAAAGGAAGAAAAAGUAGAGCUAGGUAAGGGGAAUGGCAAGUACUGGGGGUGAGUAAGGUGGAGUGUGCUGCAAUAUUAAAUAUGGUGGUCAUGAUAGGCCUCAUUGAGAAAAGUGACAUUUUGAAAAUCUGAAGGCAGUGAAAGAAGUGGCCAUGUACACAUCCAGGGAAAGAACAGUCUAGGUAGGAGAACAGCCUGUGCACAGUCUUUAAGGUGGAAGGAACAAAGAGGUCAAUGUUCGGUAUGUAAAGUCUUCAAGGCAUAUAAAAUGUGUAGGUCUCCUUGUUUCUAUCCUGAAUGACUCUAGUUUGCCAUGCCUUUCUAAAACCUUGUGGUAAAAAAUAUAAAAUUUACACUCUUAACCUUUGUGUUUUUUUUUUUGGUACCGGGGAUCGAACUCGGGACCUUCUGCUUGCGAGGCAGGCGCCAGAACCACUGAGCUAAAUCCCCGGCCCCACUCUUAACCUUUUUAAAUACACAGUUUAGUGGUAUUAACUAUACAGUAGUUAGUGUUAUUCACAUUGUUGAGUGACAGAGCUCUGGAACUUUUUAAUCUUGCAAAACUGAAACUUUAUACCCAUGUGCUAUGGUGUGGAUAUAGUUUGUCCCCAAAGGUUUAUGUGUUGGAUUCUGUUUCCACCACUUCAGUGGUGCCACACAGGGGACCAAGAAUCCAUUGAGGUGGUGGAAAUGUUAGGAGGUGGGCUUGGUGGAAGGUAAUUAGAUCAAGAGGGCAGCAUUCUUAGAAGAAAUUAAGUACUUUUCACAGGACAAAGUUAAUUCCUGCAAAGGGAGGUGGGGAGGGGUUAUUAUAAAAGAGGUUGUCCCUCCCUGUGCUUGCUUCCUUAUUCCCGCACAUGUAGUUCUGCCACAACCUAUCUCUUUUCUUUGCCGUGGUGUAGCCAGACACCCUGUACAAUGCGGUUUGGACUUUCCAACCACCAGAUUUAUAAGCCAAAUAAACCUUUUUUCCUUAAAAAGUA
Heterocephalus glaber (naked mole-rat) is the source of this 4002-nucleotide non-coding RNA. The record is from RefSeq and is a predicted model, not a curated record. Lineage: Eukaryota; Metazoa; Chordata; Mammalia; Rodentia; Bathyergidae.